UUUCCGUAGGUGAACCUGCGGAAGGAUCAUUAUUGAAUAAACUUGAUGGGUUGUCGCUGGCUCCUAGGAGCAUGUGCACACCUGUCAUCUUUAUCCCGCAUCCACCUGUGCACCUUUUGUAGACUCUGGAGCUGAUGAGCGUGAAAAUGUCGAGGAAAACCUAUUAUAUUCAUUGGUCCCUCGGAAAUAGGCCUGCCACUAUGGCUGGCCUUGAUGCUCGCGCAAGUCUUCUCUGAGCCUAUGUCUUUUCAUAUGCAACAUAGGAACGUCUUAGAAUGUAUUCACUAGGCCUCGGUGCCUAUAGAACAAACAAUACAACUUUCAGCAACGGAUCUCUUGGCUCUC
RNAcentral lists this unclassified non-coding RNA (345 nucleotides) under soil metagenome. RNAcentral describes it as "partial contains small subunit ribosomal RNA, internal transcribed spacer 1, and 5.8S ribosomal RNA". The record is from RNAcentral.